CAUCUUGUUCACUCACUGAGUAUUGUACUCACGUUUUAUAAAAAAUUCAUGUUUUCAAAUCAAGUAACUGUUGGACCCUAGAUCGAGGAGUCCCCAUAGUGCAUCUUUUGGGUAUGUGUCUGGCAUUCGAUAGUAAUCUCUUUUAUUGUAAAUGUCUCCGUUGGAAGUCAUGGGUCCUUUGUAUUGUGAAUACAAUCUAACAAUGUGAAUAUGUGUAUACAAUGUAAAUUGCUAAAUACAUGACUGGUAUAGUGCAUGUAUAUUAUUAUCGAUAAUGCCAUUAUGUUUUGGCUAUGUUCACACCCGAAAAAAGGUGUGUGUGUAUGCAUGAUAUGAUAAAUUUGUUAAGCAAAGGUAAAUGGAUAGGCUUGCUUGGGCUUAGUGAGCUAUGCUCAUUGAGCUCAUGC
This 407-nucleotide long non-coding RNA is filed under the name Theobroma cacao (cacao). RNAcentral describes it as "long non-coding RNA (TCAC_LNC002581)". The record is from RNAcentral. Lineage: Eukaryota; Viridiplantae; Streptophyta; Magnoliopsida; Malvales; Malvaceae.